Long non-coding RNA from Felis catus (domestic cat), 2929 nucleotides. RefSeq lists it as uncharacterized. The transcript has 8 exons. Lineage: Eukaryota; Metazoa; Chordata; Mammalia; Carnivora; Felidae. The record is from RefSeq and is a predicted model, not a curated record.
CGGAGACAGUACCUCGAGCUCGAGUGCCUUCUCCCACCUCCUCUGCCCUCUAGGCUUCAAGGGAAACAGAAGUUCUUCUCAAGUUAAACAACAAAGCGAAACGUCCUGUAUCCAAGUCAUAUGUAGAUAUGAACAAAGAGCAAAGAAUUUGUCCUGGAAGUCCUCGUAUUCUUCUCCUCAUCUUCCUGGUCACCUAUAAACUGAUCAUUGAGAAAGAGAAUGGGCUCACAAUGAAAGUCAGGUUUUACACUAGUCUGUUUUGCCCUGAGCUGUGGAGAGGAUCAAGAUCCCAGAGGAAUGGAUACUCCAACUGGGUGGGAACCAGAUGGGGAAAUUGAGGUCAAGAGAGAUCUCAGAUCUGGAACAAGGCUGGAGAGCGGAGUGCCUUGAAUACUAAGCUAAGGGAUCUCAGCUCUGCAAUGCGGACCAGUGAUGUUUCAACAUUUCCUCAUUUGAAUGCUUAUUCAUUGACCCACUUCCUACAUGCCAUGUGACCAGAUGUCCCAAGAAGAGUUCCUUUGGGAUGAAGUUAAUUCUCAUCCUUUGUAUACCAUUGUGAAAUAGCACUGGUGAGAUGGUGACAAGACACAUCUGAAGCAAUCACCUAGACGAGUGCCAAGGAUCCAAAAGCUUUAGCUUCUCAUCCUGCUGUUAACUUGUUCUGCUAGCCCAGAUGGAAUCCUGAGCUCUCCUAUAGUUAAACAAGAAGGAUUCAUCCUCAGAACCAGUGGCUCUGGCCCCUUCUCCCACCAUGAACUGGAUACUGGAGUAAGAGGUGCCACAACCUUGUGUGACCCAGAUACUCGUUCAUUGAUUUUUUCCCUACUAAUUAUUGAGCACUUCAGAUGCCCUGGUUGUUGAGGAUAAGCAAUAAAGAGGUUUCUAGAUCCUUUCGGGGUUGACAUGUGGGCAGUAUAAUCUUCUGUGAUCCUACCUCAGCGAAAACAUUCCAGUCAUCUGUGGGCAGGGGUAACAAAGGCCAUGAAACUUCUGCAGGUUUAGGGGUGGAGAGGGGCCUCCCUGCUGGGGGCCCAUCUCCUCUGCCACCUCGUUCCUGUCAUACAGCAGUGAGGAUCGGGACCUGCUCUGUCAACUCUGUUACGUGGUUUACUGACCAAGGUAACCAGGAGAUCAGCCUGUGGAGUCUGGGGGUCAGGAGGGCUUGAGUUUGAGUCUUGAAUCCAUCAUUAAUCAGUUGUGUGACUUUGGAAACUCAGUCUCUUCAGUUCACUCAAAAGGAGGCUGGGCUAUGAGAAGUCCAACAAAGCACAUGGUAAGCAUUUUACUAGAUUACUAUUAAUUUUUUAAAGCUAUAUAUUCUUUGGCCAUGAACAAGCAAAGAAAGAGAACAAACAAUGAUCAGAAUGAUAGCUAACAUUUAUUGAGUGCCUAGGAUGGAUUAGACACUGUUGAAAGAUCUCUCCGUGUACUAAAUUAAUUCUCUUCACAAGCAAUGAGGUCUGUACAAUUAACGUCAGUGUACAAAGAAGAAGCACAUCCAGCCACAGGUAGAGGAGUCAGGAUUUGAACCAAGGUGGCUGAACUUGAGCGCUUGCACUCACCAGCAGGAGGUACAACUUACAUAUAGCAAAGCGCACAAAUCUCAUGAGAAAGCUUGAUGAGUUUUUAUAUAUGUAUACAUCCAGGUAGCCAUUACCCAGAUCAAGAUGAUCAGAGGGAGAUUCAGAGAAGACGGUGAUUUGCUCAGACUUAAGCCACAGCAAAGCCAUGCCUGGAACUCAAUUACUAGAUAGAAGUUUCUUAUGAACUUCUGAGCUGUCUGAAAUGGGUGCUAUAUAUCACUCAACCUGGCUGCUGGUCAGAUGUGGAAAGGACAAUCUGAGUCAGAAGCCCUGGGUUCAAGCCCCACAACUGUUACCAGUGUGUGAUGCAUGGCAAGGUACUUGCUGCUGUGAACUAACUGGAAAGUGGAUACCCCUGCUUCCCAGCAUUGCUGGAUUAAAGGAGAUCACGAUGCAGAGACACUCCAUUGGUUGAGAAGCACUUAACAUCAUUAUUAUCAUUACCAUCAAAAUAUAUUCUAAGGGGAUGCUUUGGAGCCCGAGAUGUAAGGUUGAGCUGAACAGAGGCAUGAUGCACAGAUAACUGUGGCUCAAACCUGAAGAGUGAAGCAGGGUGAGGCCCACGGUGUGGAGGCUGGCCAGAGCGGACAGUUACUGAGAACAUUCUACGCGGUGAGCGCUGCUCUGAGUGCUCUUCCUCUAUCCUCCCAUUUAAUCCUCACAAAACCCCGUGAGGAACAACCUGUAUAUGCCCAUUUUCCAAAGAAGGACUUGAGGCACAGAGCACUUAAGCAACUCGCUUAAUGUCACAGUCAAUGGCAUUGAAACCCUGGCACCCCCAAGCGUAUGGUCUUUUCGUUCACCCUGCAUUCAUUCACCCAAGGCUGACACAGUGCCCCCUCUGUGCUAGGGGGCGGGGUGCAGAGCUGAACACUUUGGUUCCCCCAACCCCACAGCCCUCACCGUCUUUCUAAUCCAAUCCAGUUGGCACUCUCCCACACUUAACUCAAGAACUGCUCUGAAAUGUGGCUGGUCUGAGCUCAUGUGCUGUAUGUGUAGAAUACAUACCAGGUUUAGAAGACCUAAUACAAAAAGAAUGCAAAAUAUACCAUUAAUAAUUUUUAAUAUUGACUGCAUGUUGAAGUGACUGUGUUUUGGAUACAAACUAUAUCAUUAAGGUUUAUUGUACCUUUAAGAAAAAAAAGUGGCCACCAGAAAACUAAAGUCAUGUGGGCGUUCACAUGCUAUUUCUGUUGGAUGGCGUUGCUCUAGAAUGUGAAGUCUUUGAAGGUAGGGGCCAUCUCUGUAUUAUUCACUGUGGGUCCCAGGAGACAGAACAGGGCCAGUACACAAUGGUCCCUCAAUAGAGUUGUUGGAUAAUUGAAUAAAUGACCAAAUCCCACGCA